ACUCUCGACAACGGAUAUCUCGGCUCUCGUAUCGAUGAAGAAUAUAGUGAAAUGCGAUACUUGGUAUGAAUUGCAAAAUCCCGUGAACCAUCGAGUCUUUGAACACAAGUUGUGCCCCAAGCCAUUAGGCCGAGGGCACGUUUGCCUGGGUGUCACGCAUCGUCGCCCCAAUCCAACCCCGAUCCCUAGGGACUCAGUUGGACCGCGGCAAAAAUCGGCCUACCGUGCGCUACAGCCAGCGGUUGGCCUAAAUUCGAGUCUUUGACGACAUCAUCGUCGCGACCAUCGGUGGUAAUGCUAUAAGCAACCUCCUUCAGAGUCGUGUGCAUUUGUCGAUCGAGACCCUUGAACCCUUUCGGCAUCGUAAGAACGGUGCUCGCAUCACGACCCCAGGUUAGGCGGGAUUACCCACUGAGUUUAAGCAUAUCAAUAAGCGAAGGAAAAGAAACUUACCAAGAUUCCCCUAGUAACAGUGAGCGAAUCGGGAAAAGCCCAUCUUGAGAAUCGGGCGCCACCGAAGUCCGAAUUGUAGUCCGGAGAAGCUUUCUCAGCGGCGGACCGAACCCAAGUCCCCUGGAAAGGGGCACCAGAGAGGGUGAUAGCCCCAUCGUGCCCGGACCCUAUCGCACCACGAGGUGCUGUUUACGAGUCGGGUUUGUUUGGGAAUGCAGCCCUAAUCGGGCGAUAAAUUUCGUCCAAGGCUAAAUACGGACGAGAGACCGAUAGCGAACAAGUACCGUGAUGGAAAGAUGAAAAGGACUUUGGAAAGAGAGUCAAAGAGUGAUUGAAAUUGUCGAGAAGGAAGCGGAUUGGGGCCAGCGAUGCGCCCUGGUCGGAUGUAGAAUGGCGAGAGUCGGUCAGUCGAUCGGUUCGGGGCGUAGACCGACGCAGGUCAUGGCGAUAGCCCAAGCCCGGGCCUUUGAUAGGCCUGUGGAGACGUCGUCGCCUUGAUCGUCGGUCUAGCGGUCAGAAAAGCACUUGUCCGCACCCGUUCGUACUCAUAACCGUAUCAGGUCUCCAAGGUGAACAGCCUCUGGUCAAUGGAACAAUGUAGGUAAGGGAAGUCGACAAAAUGGAUCCGUAACCUCAGGAAAAUGACUGCCUCUGAGGGCUGGGCACGGGGGUCCCAGUCUCGAACCCGUCGGCUAUCGGUGCACUGCACGAGCUGCUUUCGCAGCAAGAGCGGGUCACCGCGUGCCGGUCGAGGGACGGACUGGGAACGACUCCCUCGGGGGCUUUCCCCGGGUGACGAACAGUCGACUCAGAACUGGUACGGACAAGGGGAAUCCGAUUGUUUAAUUAAAACAAAGCAUUGCGAUGGUCUUUGCGGAUGCUCACGCAAUGUGAUUUCUGUCCAGUGCUCUGAAUGUCAAAGUGAAGAAAUUCAACCAAGCAAGGGUAAACGGUAGGAGUAACUAUGACUCUCUUAAGGUAGCCAAAUUAGUGACGAGCAUGAAUGGAUUCACGAGAUUCCUACUGUCCCUGUCUACUAUACAGCAAAACCACAGGCAAGGGAACGGGCUUGGCAGAAUUAGCGGGGAAAGAAGACCCUGUUGAGCUUGACUCUAGUCCGACUUUGUGAAAUGACUUGAGAGGUGUGGGAUAAGUGGGAGCUCUCAAGGGAAAUUGAAAUACCACUACUUUAAACGUUAUUUUACUUAUUCCGUGAAUCAGAGGCGUGGCACGGCCCCUCUUUUUGGACCCAAGGCUGGCUUCGGCCAGUCGAUCUGGGUGGAAGACAUUGUCAGGUGGGGAGUUUGGCUGGGGCGACACAUCUGUUAAAAGAAAACGUAGGUGUCCUAAGAUGAGCUCAACGAGAACAGAAAUCUCGUGUGGAACAAAAGGGUAAAAGCUCGUUUGAUUCUGAUUUCCAGUACGAAUACGAACGGUGAAAGCGUGGCCUAUCAAUCCUUCAGACCUUCAGAAUUUGAAGCUAGAGGUGUCAGAAAAGUUACCACAGGGAUAACUGGCUUGUGGGAGCCAAGCGUUCAUAGCGACGUUGCUUUUUGAUCCUUCGAUGUCGGCUCUUCCUAUCAUUGGGUGCGAGCUCCCAACUGUUGGUGGUCCGGGCACUUGUUUAAUUUUUUGCCGUGCCGUGCCAUGCCAUCAUGCUACUUCGCUCAGCUUCUUAUAUUUGUUUUGGGCCAACAGAGAAAAUUUCUAAGUUAAACACUUGGCCGUGCCGCCCCCUAGGGAAACAUGGCACAACGGGAGCCCUGGUGGUGCGGGUGCGAGCUCCCAACUAUUGGUGGUCCGGGUACUUGUUCAAUUUUCUGCCGUGCCAUCAUGCCAUAUUUCAUUCGGCUUCUUGUAUUUUUUUGGGCCAACAGAAAAAAAUUUCAGUUAAAAAUUCUAAGUGUAAGUGGCCUAAAAGAAACUGCCCCUAUUUCAGGCAUAUGCAGGAGCCUCGGGCAACAUCGGCAACGUAGGCCAUCCCGUGGUGGCAGGUCAUCGGGCAACAUCAACACCUUGGUGCCUCAGAAGUGCGGGAGCGUUGGGC
This 2500-nucleotide ribosomal RNA is filed under the name Gossypium barbadense (sea-island cotton). Its description in RNAcentral is "eukaryotic LSU rRNA". The stretch from base 385 to 2500 matches the Rfam family "Eukaryotic large subunit ribosomal RNA", at positions 1 to 2929 of the family's 3401-position model. The record is from RNAcentral. Lineage: Eukaryota; Viridiplantae; Streptophyta; Magnoliopsida; Malvales; Malvaceae.